GUAUAAUUGCAAUACAAUUCUAUCCAGCACAAAAGACGUACGAUUCGUUCAUUUACCGAUUGCCAUAACCUAUAUAUACGCCCAUGCAAUUAGUAAAUUUUGACGAGGAUGACACGGGUGAUGCAUGCAUAUCUAGAGACGUUUAUUGGGCUACCAUUUGAAUUUUAUGUGGGAGGGGUUAGCAUGAAAUUUGACAAGAGUUUUGAGUAAAACAUAAGCAGAAUGAGCACUUGACAAAAAAGGCAGGAUAAAUUAAUAAAAAAUAACAGAACACAGUAGAGUGAAAAAUAAAAGGUAGGACAGAGAUUACAAAUAA
RNAcentral lists this long non-coding RNA (316 nucleotides) under Mytilus galloprovincialis (Mediterranean mussel). The record is from RNAcentral. Lineage: Eukaryota; Metazoa; Mollusca; Bivalvia; Mytilida; Mytilidae.